CAGUAGCCGCGGUAAUACAGAGGGUGCAAGCGUUAAUCGGAAUUACUGGGCGUAAAGCGCGCGUAGGUGGUUUGUUAAGUUGGAUGUGAAAGCCCCGGGCUCAACCUGGGAACUGCAUCCAAAACUGGCAAGCUAGAGUACGGUAGAGGGUGGUGGAAUUUCCUGUGUAGCGGUGAAAUGCGUAGAUAUAGGAAGGAACACCAGUGGCGAAGGCGACCACCUGGACUGAUACUGACACUGAGGUGCGAAAGCGUGGGGAGCAAACAGGAUUAGAUACCCCAGUAGUCCCUGUCUCUUAUAA
Molecule: ribosomal RNA, 301 nt
Filed under: uncultured bacterium
Lineage: Bacteria
Description: partial 16S ribosomal RNA
Rfam family: Bacterial small subunit ribosomal RNA
Source: RNAcentral